Molecule: long non-coding RNA, 307 nt
Filed under: Lathyrus oleraceus (garden pea)
Lineage: Eukaryota; Viridiplantae; Streptophyta; Magnoliopsida; Fabales; Fabaceae
Description: Pisum sativum (pea) long non-coding RNA (PSAT_LNC013502)
Source: RNAcentral
CCAUAGUAUCAUCUUCAUCACAAAAUAUAAUUUUUAUAUGUAUAUCUUCCUCACCCUUGAACCUGCCUAACUUUAAAACUGUGUCAUUAGUACGUCUUUUCUACUACUUUAUAUAUUAUUAUCCAUUAUUUGCUUAGCCACCAUAACACCACCACUUAAUUUUCCUCAACCCCCCAUUACACUCCUACACUCCGCACACUCAACUUUUACGGCUAAUCCAACACCCUUUUCACCAACACCCCACUCAACAAAUCCACUUAUUUCUCUCAUUUUUGAAUAAUCACAACGCCACACACUCCUCUUUUUG